RNAcentral lists this ribosomal RNA (429 nucleotides) under Acidobacteriota bacterium. RNAcentral's name for it is "Acidobacteria bacterium partial 16S ribosomal RNA". It matches the Rfam family "Bacterial small subunit ribosomal RNA", at positions 355 to 776 of the family's 1533-position model. The record is from RNAcentral. Lineage: Bacteria; Pseudomonadati; Acidobacteriota.
UAGGGAAUCUUCCGCAAUGGGCGAAAGCCUGACGGAGCAAUGCCGCGUGAGUGAAGAAGGCCUUCGGGUCGUAAAACUCUGUUAUAAGAGAAGAACAAAUUGUAGAGUAACUGCUACAGUCUUGACGGUAUGUUAUCAGAAAGCCACGGCUAACUACGUGCCAGCAGCCGCGGUAAUACGUAGGUGGCAAGCGUUGUCCGGAUUUAUUGGGCGUAAAGGGAGCGCAGGUGGUUUCUUAAGUCUGAUGUGAAAGCCCACGGCUUAACCGUGGAGGGUCAUUGGAAACUGGGAAACUUGAGUACAGAAGAGGAAUGUGGAACUCCAUGUGUAGCGGUGGAAUGCGUAGAUAUAUGGAAGAACACCAGUGGCGAAGGCGACAUUCUGGUCUGUUACUGACACUGAGGCUCGAAAGCGUGGGGAGCAAACAGG